Molecule: transfer RNA, 72 nt
Filed under: Castanea mollissima (Chinese chestnut)
Lineage: Eukaryota; Viridiplantae; Streptophyta; Magnoliopsida; Fagales; Fagaceae
Rfam family: tRNA
About the family: Transfer RNA (tRNA) molecules are approximately 80 nucleotides in length. Their secondary structure includes four short double-helical elements and three loops (D, anti-codon, and T loops).
Source: Rfam by way of RNAcentral
GGGUUGAUAGCUCAGUGGUAGAGCAUUCGGCUUUUAACCGACUGGCCGAGGGUUCAAGUCCCUCUCAACCCA